Molecule: ribosomal RNA, 501 nt
Filed under: uncultured bacterium
Lineage: Bacteria
Description: bacterial SSU rRNA
Rfam family: Bacterial small subunit ribosomal RNA
Source: RNAcentral
CAGGAUGAACGCUAGCUACAGGCUUAACACAUGCAAGUCGAGGGGCAGCAUGAGAUCAGCUUGCUGAUCUGAUGGCGACCGGCGCACGGGUGAGUAACGCGUAUCCAACCUUCCCCCUACUCAGGCAUAGCCCGGUGAAAACCGGAUUAACUCCUGAUAGUUUCACUAGAUGGCAUCUGACGGUGAAUAAAGCUUAGCGGUAAGGGAUGGGGAUGCGUCUGAUUAGCUUGUUGGCGGGUAACGGCCCACCAAGGCGACGAUCAGUAGGGGUUCUGAGAGGAAGGUCCCCCACAUUGGAACUGAGACACGGUCCAAACUCCUACGGGAGGCAGCAGUGAGGAAUAUUGGUCAAUGGGCGCGAGCCUGAACCAGCCAAGUAGCGUGCAGGAAGACGGCCCUAUGGGUUGUAAACUGCUUUUGUGCGGGAAUAAAGUCAGGGACGUGUCCCUGUUUGCAUGUACCGCAAGAAUAAGGACCGGCUAAUUCCGUGCCAGCCGCGGC